Molecule: unclassified non-coding RNA, 253 nt
Filed under: uncultured bacterium
Lineage: Bacteria
Description: contains 16S-23S intergenic spacer region
Rfam family: Bacterial small subunit ribosomal RNA
Source: RNAcentral
UACGAGGGGAGCAAGCGUUAUUCGGAAUUACUGGGCGUAAAGGGCGUGUAGGCGGCUUAUUAAGUUAAGUGUUAAAGACCGUUACAUAAUGACGGAAAGGCGCUUAAUACUGGUGAGCUAGAGGACAAGAGAGAGGGGUGGAAUUCUUGGAGUAGCGGUAGAAUGCGUAGAUCUCAAGAGGAACACCGAUGGCGAAGGCAGCCCCUUGGCUUGUAACUGACGCUGAGACGCGAAAGCGUGGGGAGCAAACAGG